ACAGCGUCGCCUGCUGGUUUCUCUGCAUCUUACCCAUCGUCUGCUUGUGAUGUGAAUUCAAAGGGAGAAGAGAAAGAGAAGGCUGGGUCUGGCAGCUGCUGUCCAUCUCCAGCAGUCACUGUGCAAGAGGUAUGGUACAACCUGGACAGGCCUUGAGUCCUUCACAGGGACACUUGGAGACACAUGACCAUUUAUGAUUAGUGGCUUUCAGCUGCAACCUGUACCGUCUCUGCAACUGGCCCGACGGGAACAACUGGAUUCUGCAGCCGACAAAUCAGCGCUCAGGGUUUGGUUUUAAUGUGUCGCAGUGAAAGGAGUUUAAUGGAGCAGAGGUUGCAACUUACCUUUUUUUUCUGAAGAUGAACCACUGUUGUUUUGUGUUGCUCGGGUUCUUUGAUCAACCUGAGCAGAAAACAGGU
Austrofundulus limnaeus is the source of this 419-nucleotide long non-coding RNA. RefSeq lists it as uncharacterized. The transcript is spliced from 3 exons. Lineage: Eukaryota; Metazoa; Chordata; Actinopteri; Cyprinodontiformes; Rivulidae. The record is from RefSeq and is a predicted model, not a curated record.